This is a long non-coding RNA of Argiope bruennichi, 3442 nucleotides long. RefSeq lists it as uncharacterized. The record is from RefSeq and is a predicted model, not a curated record. The transcript is spliced from 9 exons. Lineage: Eukaryota; Metazoa; Arthropoda; Arachnida; Araneae; Araneidae.
CCUUAACUGUAUUUGUAACUAAUUAGUCGCUUCAAACAAACAGAUGAGAAGCUGUCAAAAUAUAUGGUGCGGUCGGUGUUUUUUGGACUUUCGAACCGAAUCUGUUUUUUUAGUAUAUUAUGAAAAUGUUCUGAAUUUAAUGUACAUUUGAAAGCAUUGUGGAAAGAAUUUUAUAUACAGUGAAGAUGGAAAAAGUUAUAAAGAGAAACUUUAUUCGAUUUGCUCAUCGAGUAGAACCUAUUCAGAGUGUGUUCCUUGAGGAGGGUUGUGAAGCUGAAAACGAUGUUCUUCAGUGUUUCUCUGAACUUCAAAUGGAAUUGGUAGAAGACAUGAUAAGUAGUGCUUGUGCUUUUUCCAAGCAACGUAAAAGUGAAAGUGUAGAUCCAGAAGAUCUUUUAUCUUAUUUAGUGUGAAAUCCUGUAGCCUUGGUGUCCUUCCCAUUGGUUGACUUCUAUGAACACUAAUACUACAAUGAAUAAUUAACAGUGAACUUUCUGAGGGACUUAAGAUGUAAUCUUAAGUUAUCAUUUCAUAUCAGUGUUAAGAGCUUCAUGAAAAUCUUUAAUAAACUAAAAAGAAAUGUAUUCAUUGAAAUGCUUGGCUGUUUCUUGUGCUGUAUCUGAAGUUUGUAGCUUAUAUAUUGUUGUAGCAUACUGUCAUUAGACUCUAAAUGAAGAUGUUAGUGCAUCUUCCAACUGUCAUUAGACUCUAAAUGAAGAUGUUAGUGCAUCUUCCAACUGUCAUUAGACUCUAAAUGAAGAUGUUAGUGCAUGUUCCAACUGUCAUUAGACUCUAAAUGAAGAUGUUAGUGCAUCUUCCAAUAAAGAUUCUAAACGUAAAUUAAAGCGAGCUUGUAUUAAACUUCUGUUAAGAAUCAGGGUUUCAAGAAUAAAACUGAUUUCUCUUUUCAACUGAUAAUUAAUGUACUCUUCUUCGUAGUUUAUGAAAGUAAUGUUCCUUAUAUAGAGGCAUUUGUACCCAAAAUCAAUGAAUGGAAUGAAAGUGUUUUAAAUUUAUAAGAUGAUGACUUGUGCAGAAAAAAAAAAGCCAGUAGGGGAAUUUCAAGGCUUUAGCAUUUGAAUAUUUACAUGUAACUUUAGUAAAAUGGGUAUUUGUGUAAGAAUGUAUGCAUAAGAGAGAAAGAAAUUUAUUAAUUCACAUACAAGUCCUAAACAUGCAUACAAACAAAAUCAUUGGCAGUUAGAUCUCGCUUCCUGAAGGAAACCAUUACUGGAAGAAGCUAACACAACUUGCUACUGCAAUGCUUGAUAACACAAUCACCUGUGAUCAAACUGGAAAUCAAAUCUAACACUUAGAAUUGUCAUGAAAUAGUUUGUAAAUUGGAUAGGAAUUACAGUAAUGUCAGAUAAAUAUUAUGGUACAUUCUUCUUCUAUCCAUAUAAGAUCAGUCUUAUGCAGACAUUAGCAACUGAAGAUCAUGAUAUGUGCUUAACUUUUGCAAUAACAUUUCUCAUUUGAACAUGAUUAAUAAUCACUCACUGAAAAAUAUGAAGAGAGGUUUGAUUCUUCUGAAUGGAUUGAUUAGUGCUCACAAUUGUAAAAUUUGUUCUUUAAACAUCCCUAAAUAAGCCAAUAAGAGCUGCUGCUUUUUUCCAAAGUAACUGUGGAAAGUAGUUUUAACGCAUAUUACUAAAGAGUGUAUUAUUUUUCUUUGCCACUUUAGAAAAUAUAACUUGCUGCAUUGCUAUCUAGAAGUGCUGAAAAAAUUUAUUUCCUAAAAUACAUCAAAGGUCAUUCUUGAAUUGAACAAUUUAAUGCAGGAUGGAGCAAGCAAUCAUAUCUACACUAACAUUUCACUGAUGAAAGUUAAAUGCCUUUUCUUUCCAUUACGGAAAGAAUUUCAUUCAGCAAAAACUUUAUAUGACUUUAGUUUGUGGUUGAUAGGUGAAAUCAGCUGUGUUUUGGUAGCAUUGCCAAAUUAACAAUCAUAAAACCUAACAUCAGACAGGAUUCUGAGUUUAGCGUGUUGCAGACAAUUACUGGGAUUCGUUACGCUAUGGUACCAAGCAUGUUCACUACCAGUUUGUAAUUUAUAUGGGCAAUAAAUACUGGCAUUCAUAUAAGUUGUUAUUCAUUUCUGUUAUUUACAAAGUACUUUUCUUUUAAUAAUUAUCUGUGGCUUCAUAUGUGUUACAGUUGUAAAUCAUGCUGUAACUUCUAAACUGGACAGUGAUUCACUGGUAUUCUUACCAUGUUUCAGUAAUAUACAAUUGUUCUUUGUUUGACGAGUAUCUCUCAUAACGAGCAAAACAAAAAAAUAUGACUGUUUUAAUGAUCCAUGUUUUAAAGAAAGUGUGACAAGAAAACAUCGUGACAUCACAUGCAGGCUUGACCUAUAUCUUGGAUUUCAAUCAGUAUUAAGCACUUAUUUGCAAGGAAUACUUAUUUCCACAUGGAAUAAGCUUUGAUUGGUUAGUAUUGUCGAACACAUCUCUGAGGAAUUUCAGGAAGUGUAUGCAGUUUUUGCCUAAGAUUAUGGAGCUAGAGUUGGAUAGCAACAAUUCAUGAGCUGUAGGAAGAGCAUAGCAAAAACUGUUGAAGAACUAAUGGAGCUAUAUUCUGUGUCACAACAACAAGUUGCAGGUGAGAUUUAGUCAGAAAGAAGGUGAUUACAGCCACAGCCGAUCAAGAACGUUCCAUUGAAACAUAGAAGAUGCUGAAAACGUGGGAAAAUGUUGCACCUAGUGCUGAAAGGCAUCAUCCUACUUAUGCAGGUGUAUAUUGGAAUCUAGAACCAUUACUUGUAUCUGAUGGUUUUUACCGAGUUGAAGAAAGAACUGAUGCUCUCUCUAUACCAACAGAGCCUCACCCAAAACAAACUAAAUUGAAAACAGAGCGCCCAACUACGUCAAACAUUAAAAAAAAUCCUGUUAGGAAAACCAGGUCUGACCAGACAUUUAAAAACAAAAGUAGUAAGUUAAAAUCAAAGAUUAACACAAAAUAUCAAGAUUCAUGUUCAGAACAUCGACCACCUUUGAACAAAAAACCUGAAGUUGAUGUAAAAGUUGAAAAACAAAUCGAAAUGUUUCAUUCAUAUUCAAAAGUUCGUAAAACACCUGGAAGAAAAAGUAAACAAGAGGUAUCCAACUCGGUUGAAACACCAGCAGAAGCACGAAAAAGGCUUGCCAUCAUUUUGCUAAGAAUAGCUGGGAAGCACUGAAAGGCACACGUUAUUUCCAUGGCUGUGCAAGACGCUGUUUUGAAUUUGAAAGGACUUCAGCGAUUACCUUGUAUUCCAAGCAUUGUCUUCUCAUCAGAUUAUCCUUACUGCAAAAGCAAGUAGAAGUGCAUAUCAUCUUAGCUGCUCAUACUUAAUUUUUUUUCAUGAAUACCUUGUAGUAAGUUCUAUGGUUUUGCAUGUAUAUGUUAAUUGGCAGGAUUGAAUUGCCUGUAUACCUGUUUAUUAAAUGUUUUUAAUAUA